UAGGCGUACGGGUGAGUAACACGUGGAUCAUCUACCUUCUAGUGGGGAAUACCGUUGGGAAACCGACGACAAUACCGCAUAAGCUCGAGAGAGGAAAGCAGAAAUGCGCUGGAAGAGGAGUCCGCGGCUGAUUAGCUAGUUGGUGAGGUAACGGCCCACCAAGGCAUUGAUCAGUAGCCGGCCUGAGAGGGCACACGGCCACACUGGCACUGAAACACGGGCCAG
Molecule: ribosomal RNA, 225 nt
Filed under: uncultured bacterium
Lineage: Bacteria
Description: partial 16S ribosomal RNA
Rfam family: Bacterial small subunit ribosomal RNA
Source: RNAcentral